CUGGAACAGAUGAACAGACUCAGAUUGUGA
Molecule: non-coding RNA, 30 nt
Filed under: Cricetulus griseus (Chinese hamster)
Lineage: Eukaryota; Metazoa; Chordata; Mammalia; Rodentia; Cricetidae
Source: RNAcentral